This 374-nucleotide ribosomal RNA is filed under the name uncultured organism. RNAcentral describes it as "bacterial SSU rRNA". It matches the Rfam family "Bacterial small subunit ribosomal RNA", at positions 526 to 896 of the family's 1533-position model. The record is from RNAcentral.
CGUAGGGGGCGAGCGUUGUCCGGAUUUAUUGGGCGUAAAGAGCUCGUAGGCGGUUUAGCAAGUCGGGUGUGAAAACUCCGGGCUCAACUCGGAGACGCCACUCGAUACUGCUAUGACUCGAGUCCGGUAGGGGAGUGCGGAAUUCCUGGUGUAGCGGUGAAAUGCGCAGAUAUCAGGAGGAACACCGGUGGCGAAGGCGGCACUCUGGGCCGGAACUGACGCUGAGGAGCGAAAGCGUGGGGAGCGAACAGGAUUAGAUACCCUGGUAGUCCACGCCGUAAACGUUGGGCACUAGGUGUGGGGCUCGAUCGACGGGCUCCGUGCCGUAGCUAACGCAUUAAGUGCCCCGCCUGGGAAGUACGGCCGCAAGGCUA